Molecule: long non-coding RNA, 381 nt
Organism: Biomphalaria glabrata
Lineage: Eukaryota; Metazoa; Mollusca; Gastropoda; Planorbidae
Exons: 3
Source: RefSeq, a predicted model, not a curated record
UUACAUUCGGGAUCACAAAUGUAACUGAGAUGCUCGUCCAGACUUGGUUUGAAAGUUCUAGCAGUGUUUCCAAUAGAAGCCAGUCUAAUCAAUCGCCACUUUCACAGGCCAUUCAACUUGAUAGGGAUUCAGAGGUCAGGAUGCGUGACUAGAAGAAGGUGAAAUAACAGGCCUCCUACCUCGAAGCAGACUGUAGUCUGCAUCUCUUUGGUUAAAAAGAGAAAAAUAAUAUGAAGGGUCUCUAGAGUUGAUGCAGUCUAGACUUUAUGGCGGAAUCCAUUCAAAAUAAUUUACGCAAGAGAUGUAACUCUAGAUUUGUUACGACAACGUGAUUAGUAAACUGCACACUAACUACAAAGGUUGGACUGACUUUUGGAUCUG